GAUGAACGCUGGCGGCGUGCUUAACACAUGCAAGUCGAACGUGAGAGGUAGCAAUAUCUUGAAAGUGGCGCACGGGUGAGUAACACGUAGGUAACCUGCCUCGGAGUGGGGGAUAACAGUUAGAAAUGACUGCUAAUACCGCAUGAAUCCAUUAAGAUGGGAAUGUUGAUGGAGAAAACUCUGGUGCUUCGAGAGGGGCCUGCGGUCGAUUAGCUAGUUGGUGGGUAACGCCCACCAAGGCGACGAUCGAUAGCUGGUCUGAGAGGACGAUCAGCCACACGGGAACUGAGACACGGUCCCGACUCCUACGGGGGGCAGCAGUGAGGAUAUUGGGCAAUGGGC
This 342-nucleotide ribosomal RNA is filed under the name uncultured bacterium. Its description in RNAcentral is "bacterial SSU rRNA". It matches the Rfam family "Bacterial small subunit ribosomal RNA", at positions 28 to 376 of the family's 1533-position model. The record is from RNAcentral.